This 207-nucleotide ribosomal RNA is filed under the name uncultured bacterium. RNAcentral describes it as "partial 16S ribosomal RNA". It matches the Rfam family "Bacterial small subunit ribosomal RNA", at positions 1295 to 1500 of the family's 1533-position model. The record is from RNAcentral.
GGAUUGCAGUCUGCAACUCGACUGCAUGAAGCCGGAAUCGCUAGUAAUCGCGGAUCAGAAUGCCGCGGUGAAUACGUUCCCGGGUCUUGUACACACCGCCCGUCACACCAUGGGAGUCGGAAAUGCCCGAAGCCGGUGGCCUAACCGAUAAGGGAGGAGCCGUCGAAGGCAGGUCUGAUGACUGGGGUGAAGUCGUAACAAGGUAGC